This 254-nucleotide ribosomal RNA is filed under the name uncultured bacterium. RNAcentral's name for it is "partial 16S ribosomal RNA". It matches the Rfam family "Bacterial small subunit ribosomal RNA", at positions 524 to 776 of the family's 1533-position model. The record is from RNAcentral.
UACAGAGGUCCCAAGCGUUGUUCGGAUUCACUGGGCGUAAAGGGUGCGUAGGUGGCCUGGUAAGUUUGACGUGAAAUCUCCGGGCUUAACCCGGAAACUGCGUUGAAUACUAUUUGGGCUGGAGGUUUGGAGGGGGGACUGGAAUUCCCGGUGUAGCGGUGAAAUGCGCAGAUAUCGGGAGGAACACCGGUGGCGAAGGCGGUUCUCUGGGCCUUACCUGACGCUGAGGAGCGAAAGUGUGGGGAGCGAACAGG